GAUGGAGCACGCCGCGUGAGUGAAGAAGGCUUUCGGGUCGUAAAACUCUGUUGUUGGAGAAGAAUGGUCGGCAGAGUAACUGUUGUCGGCGUGACGGUAUCCAACCAGAAAGCCACGGCUAACUACGUGCCAGCAGCCGCGGUAAUACGUAGGUGGCAAGCGUUAUCCGGAUUUAUUGGGCGUAAAGCGAGCGCAGGCGGUUUUUUAAGUCUGAUGUGAAAGCCCUCGGCUUAACCGAGGAAGUGCAUCGGAAACUGGGAAACUUGAGUGCAGAAGAGGACAGUGGAACUCCAUGUGUAGCGGUGAAAUGCGUAGAUAUAUGGAAGAACACCAGUGGCGAAGGCGGCUGUCUGGUCUGUAACUGACGCUGAGGCUCGAAAGCAUGGGUAGCGAACAGGAUUAGAUACCCUGGUAGUCCAUGCCGUAAACGAUGAAUGCUAGGUGUUGGAAGGUUUCCGCCCUUCAGUGCCGCAGCUAACGCAUUAAGCAUUCCGCCUGGGGAGUACGACCGCAAGGUUGAAACUCAAAGGAAUUGACGGGGGCCCGCACAAGCGGUGGAGCAUGUGGUUUAAUUCGAAGCAACGCGAAGAACCUUACCAGGUCUUGACAUCUUUU
RNAcentral lists this ribosomal RNA (615 nucleotides) under Lacticaseibacillus rhamnosus. Its description in RNAcentral is "bacterial SSU rRNA". It matches the Rfam family "Bacterial small subunit ribosomal RNA", at positions 385 to 992 of the family's 1533-position model. The record is from RNAcentral. Lineage: Bacteria; Bacillati; Bacillota; Bacilli; Lactobacillales; Lactobacillaceae.